This 1197-nucleotide long non-coding RNA is filed under the name Dermacentor andersoni. Its description in RNAcentral is "uncharacterized LOC126525839". The record is from RNAcentral. Lineage: Eukaryota; Metazoa; Arthropoda; Arachnida; Ixodida; Ixodidae.
GAGUUGCUGGCCACAUCUUCACAGUUUCAGUGACAAAGUCGUCACACCCGUGAACUGUAAACUAAUCUCAAAAACCAUCACAAAAUCGAUCCACCCUUGCCUCAUUUAAAAUAUGGCUUUAAACAUGGCAUGCAUUGGAUCUUCAGAGCCAUAAAAUUAAUUAGAAUGUUUUUAAUUGUGUUUUAGUUCUAUUUACCAUGUGUUUCACUGCUUCACUUUGGCUUGAUUGCAUUGCAGGCUGCAGACGACGCACACAAUACACAGCACACCUGCAUGGGAACCAAGCUGACGAGUACAAUCCCAGAGAGGAAACCACGGCAAGGCUGUCACAAUAAAUAUGUUGGCGAGGAUGAUCCCCUGCCUCAACAAGCCCAUCAAUUUUGUCAGACUGAACACCACAUCACUCUAGUGUGGUGCGCAAGACCAAACGUGUCAACUCGCAGCACUGCAGUCCAGGUGGAACCAUGGGAACAGCAGUGUUGAUGGAAGUGCACAAGAAGAUGAAAGUAUGAAGCAGCUUCACAAGGCGGUAGCCACUGUCCUGGAGUGACCCUGAGCAAGCUUGCCCAUGACUGAACCAUCAAAGAUGCUUUGAUGAAAGACAUCCCAAGGGAUCGGGUCUCCUCUAUCAGUUUAGCAUUUGACUGCCAUGCUGCUGCGGGACUUGUGAAUCAAGAAGCCUAUGUCGUAAGCAGUGUUAAUCCAUGUGUGCUGGUAUGCUCAAGGACCACAAGCCAUUCGACAGUUUUGGUCGGGCUUCCGCAGCCGCUCUGCCUACGCAGGAAACCCACGGAAGCAACAGUUUGCGUGCGCAGUACGUAGAGGCAUGCAUAGUCCCGUGUGUGUGCCCGCAGCUUUUCAAAAGCUGCGCGACGUUUGCUGCAGGCUUUGUAGGACGUUCUCGCAGCUCUUACUGAAGAUUUGACUCUGGCUUGCGGUUCGACUUCGUGGCGGCUGAUAUUGGCCGCACAGUUUCAGAAGCUGAUAUAUGGCAGCGCUGAGUAGCUCACUACCGGCACCUGCGCAUGCAAGUCAGCAGUCCCCUUCUAAACUUUUGCGUCCGGCAAACUAUUGCCAUUUCGUGUGCGCAUGCUUUGCUACGUACGCACGACCUCACGCGCUGCGUACAUUGGAGGUUGCGGACACCCAACUAAAACUGUAUUAUCAUUUGCUAAUAAAGGCGAAAGUACCUGAUUA